AAAACACUCCAACAGAGAAUUUCCGAAGGGUGACAUUUAACAAAUCUCAAUAAAUUGAUUUGAAAGGGUGACAUCAAGAUGACCAAGAUAUGGUUGGUGUUUCCUAAAAUUGACAUGUACAAAGAAGCCAAGGUAAAUAAUGGCUGGCCAUGCAAUGCAUCAUUAUCUUAAUUUUCCCUUUAACAAUCAUUAUUACUGAAAUUCAAGAGAUAGGAAGAACAGAGAAACUAAGCUCUACCAGAAUGCUUCACUAGUCAUCAUUCUAUCACACCUAAUCUUGGAGGCCUAAUUGAUUUGGCUAAGAUGGUGCAGAUUUGUGGAUUUUAAUCUUUAGAUGAUAGACAAUACAAUAUUAAAAGGGGGCAAAGAGCAAAUAACCCCAAAUGAAUAAUACAAGUACCAAACCAAUUAGUGGUAAUUAGUGGUAAGGAGGGAGUAGGGGGAAG
RNAcentral lists this unclassified non-coding RNA (446 nucleotides) under Hevea brasiliensis (rubber tree). The record is from RNAcentral. Lineage: Eukaryota; Viridiplantae; Streptophyta; Magnoliopsida; Malpighiales; Euphorbiaceae.